Molecule: ribosomal RNA, 440 nt
Filed under: uncultured bacterium
Lineage: Bacteria
Description: partial 16S ribosomal RNA
Rfam family: Bacterial small subunit ribosomal RNA
Source: RNAcentral
CCUACGGGCGGCAGCAGUAGGGAAUAUUGCUCAAUGGGGGAAACCCUGAAGCAGCAACGCCGCGUGGAGGAUGAAGGUUUUCGGAUUGUAAACCCCUUUUGUUAGAGAAGAUAAUGACGGUAUCUAACGAAUAAGCACCGGCUAACUCCGUGCCAGCAGCCGCGGUAAAACGGAGGGUGCAAGCGUUACUCGGAAUCACUGGUCGUAAAGAGCGCGUAGGCGGGAUAGCAAGUCAGAUGUGAAAUCCUACGGCUUAACCAUAGAACUGCAUUUGAAACUGUUAUUCUAGAGUAUGGGAGAGGUAGGUAGAAUUCUUGGUGUAGGGGUAAAAUCCGUAGAGAUCAAGAGGAAUACUGAUUGCGAAGGCGACCUGCUGGAACAAGACUGACGCUGAUGCGCGAAAGCGUGGGGAGCAAACAGGAUUAGAUACCCCUGUAGUC